This 219-nucleotide ribosomal RNA is filed under the name uncultured bacterium. RNAcentral's name for it is "partial 16S ribosomal RNA". It matches the Rfam family "Bacterial small subunit ribosomal RNA", at positions 524 to 741 of the family's 1533-position model. The record is from RNAcentral.
UACGAAGGGGGGCUAGCGUUGCUCGGAAUCACUGGGCGUAAAGGGCUCGUAGGCGGAUCGGCGGGUCUGGCGUGAAAUCUCCACUGCUCAACAGGGAGAGGCCGCUGGAAACUACCGAUCUUGAGUAUGGUAGAGGACUAUGGAAUUCCGCAUGUAGCGGUGGAAUGCGUAGAUAUGCGGAAGAACACCGGUGGCGAAGGCGGUAGUCUGGGCCUAACG